RNAcentral lists this ribosomal RNA (764 nucleotides) under uncultured bacterium. RNAcentral's name for it is "bacterial SSU rRNA". It matches the Rfam family "Bacterial small subunit ribosomal RNA", at positions 100 to 851 of the family's 1533-position model. The record is from RNAcentral.
GAACGGGUGAGUAACGUGUGGGUAACCUACCUUAUAGCGGGGGAUAACUAUUGGAAACGAUAGCUAAUACCGCAUAACAAUGGAGAUUGCAUAAUUUCUAUUUAAAAGUAUCUAUUGGUACACUAUGAGAUGGACCCGCGUUGUAUUAGCUAGUUGGUAGUGUAAAGGACUACCAAGGCGAUGAUACAUAGCCGACCUGAGAGGGUGAUCGGCCACACUGGGACUGAGACACGGUCCAGACUCCUACGGGAGGCAGCAGUAGGGAAUCUUCGGCAAUGGGGGCAACCCUGACCGAGCAACGCCGCGUGAGUGAAGAAGGUUUUCGGAUCGUAAAACUCUGUUGUUAGAGAAGAACGUGUGAGAGAGUAGAAAGUUCUCACAGUGACGGUAUCUAACCAGAAAGGGACGGCUAACUACGUGCCAGCAGCCGCGGUAAUACGUAGGUCCCAAGCGUUGUCCGGAUUUAUUGGGCGUAAAGCGAGCGCAGGUGGUUUAAUAAGUCUGAUGUAAAAGGCAGUGGCUCAACCAUUGUAUGCAUUGGAAACUGUUAGACUUGAGUACAGUAGAGGAGAGUGGAAUUCCAUGUGUAGCGGUGAAAUGCGUAGAUAUAUGGAGGAACACCGGUGGCGAAAGCGGCUCUCUGGACUGUGACUGACACUGAGGCUCGAAAGCGUGGGUAGCAAACAGGAUUAGAUACCCUGGUAGUCCACGCCGUAAACGAUGAGUGCUAGUUGUUUGGGGCUAUCCAGCCCUAAGUGACGCAG